GGCCCAUCUUCCUGUGUUAUCAUCACAAUAGUCCUGCAGGAUAGGUGAUUGACACUUAAUCCAAUGAUGUUACCAGAUAAAUGGAGGUCAGGGGCUAGGUGGCUUUUCCUAGGUCUGUGCACCCUCUCUCAAGCCUCCCCCUCAUCUGUCUGCCCUGAGGGUACUUGGCAUGUCAGUACCCACUGCUAAUGUCAGAGGCCCCAGCUGUUGGAAUAACAGUUCAUUCUGUUUCAUGCAUGCAGCGAGACUGCUCUGGGCUGAGGCCCUCGAGGAGGCAGAGAUUUGCAGAGUUCAUCUUUUGAAAGAGAAAGGUUCCAAGUCAUAUGAAGUGCUUCUGUCACUCCAGGAAGAGGCUGUGUUCAGUUGGUCAGAGGGCAUGGUCUCCUUCCAGCUCCUGUCCCCAACCUUAAGUGGCUCCAAGAAAGGUCUUAUUAUAGUGCAUCAGCCAGGUGGCCAGAGUAGCUCACUGGGCUCAAGUGAGGCCUUCUCUGCUCACAUGCCUGUGAUGGACAGGCCUGGUGGAUCACAGCAGGGCUGGGCUGGAUGCUCCAUUCAAACUGCUGGCCUUCAGUCUUAAGGAUCCAGAUGAAUGUUUCCCAUGCAUGGAUUUUUGACAGAAGUAGUGAAGUGGGUGACUGCUGUUCCCAGGUCUGCAGAGGAAAGCAGAGACCCCUCCUACAGGAGAGCCUGAGGAAGAUGCAUUGCAUUUGGAGACAGCAAAAGACAAACUCACUCCCUUUAGAUAGCUGAAAGGUGAAGGACCCUCUGGGCUUCCCCAUUUGAGUUGGUGGAAUCCAUAGAUAAAUGAUUGAGUGAAGCCAGAUGUGGUGGUGCAUGCCUGUAUUCCCAGCACCCUGAGAGGCUAAGGCAGGAAAUUGCAAGUUUGAGCCCAGCCUGAAUAACGUAGGGACUUGUGGCUGAAGAAAUAGCUCAGUGUGAAGGACUUAGUUCAAUCUCUGGUAUUGCAAAGGAAAAAAUAUUAAGUGCUGAAUGAAGGGAAGGUUGUUAAAAGAUAAUACACAGCACAGAUUAUUCUUCUAUAAAAUGCAUCAUUUCCUAUUUGGAAGAGCUCUGGUCAGCUGCAGCCCAGCCCUCACGGUGUUCAGAAGAGGCACCUGAGGCCUAAAGAGAGGAGAGGACUGGUGGGGGAUGCUUCAGUUUCCUGAUCAGGGGUAGGACAAAUGUUAUUCUCCGAUUUGGAUGCCUUUCCCAUCUUAUUCCAGGCACUUUUGUGGGGAGGAAAGAGGGAACUUUCAGAACACAGCUUCUUCCUCUUCCUCUUCUUCUUCUUCUUCUUUUUUUUUUUUUUGUU
This 1312-nucleotide long non-coding RNA is filed under the name Fukomys damarensis (Damara mole-rat). Its description in RNAcentral is "lncRNA (ENSFDAG00000031642.1)". Lineage: Eukaryota; Metazoa; Chordata; Mammalia; Rodentia; Bathyergidae. The record is from RNAcentral.